GGUGGAUAUAGCACAGGUGGUGGUGGUGGACAAGGGGUCUCCACUGGAGGUGGCUUCACAACGGGAGGACUUGGGUAUACAGGAGGCGUUGGUGUUGGCGGCUUCACAAUGGGAGGACUUGGGUAUACAGGAGGCUUUGGAACUGGCGGCUUCACAAUGGGAGGACUGGGGUAGACGGGAGGCUUUGGAACUGGCGGCUUCACAAUGGGAGGACUGGGGUAGACGGGAGGCUUUGGCGCUGGCGGCUUUACAAUAGGAGGACUGGGGUAGACGGGAGGCUUUGGUGGUGGUGAAAUGACUGGGGGUUUAGGAUAGUGAGGUGGUGGGGGAUUAACGACAGGAGGUUUGGGUACAUGAGGAGGCUUUACGACGGGAGGGUUGGGAGGAUGAUGAGGCGGAUGUUUUGGUGGUUUGGGGUGAAAUGGGGGCUUCACAAUGGGAGGAUGUUUGGGUGGGAAAGUUGGAGGACAGUUGGGUGGAGGAGUUGGACGGGGACAUAGAGGACAAGCAAAAGAAGCAAG
This 521-nucleotide long non-coding RNA is filed under the name Gossypium barbadense (sea-island cotton). Its description in RNAcentral is "long non-coding RNA (GBAR_LNC020694)". Lineage: Eukaryota; Viridiplantae; Streptophyta; Magnoliopsida; Malvales; Malvaceae. The record is from RNAcentral.